Molecule: long non-coding RNA, 203 nt
Filed under: Capsicum annuum
Lineage: Eukaryota; Viridiplantae; Streptophyta; Magnoliopsida; Solanales; Solanaceae
Description: long non-coding RNA (CANN_LNC001151)
Source: RNAcentral
GAGCUUCCUCGCAUAUCCUAGUGAUCAAUCAAGGAAAAGGGUAUGAUCUAUCUAUUUUUGUAGCUCGAAUAUUGAUUUCAUCGGCAGUUAUCUCACAAAAAUUCAAUAGGAUCCUAGGCAUGAUACAUGCUACCAAUACUAUUCAAUCAUUACUAAUGUAUUGUCAUCUAUUGUCGGCAUCAAUGUAUAUUGUACAACUCCCC